Molecule: small nuclear RNA, 115 nt
Filed under: Pelusios castaneus (West African mud turtle)
Lineage: Eukaryota; Metazoa; Chordata; Testudines; Pelomedusidae
Description: U5 spliceosomal RNA (ENSPCEG00000020152.1)
Rfam family: U5 spliceosomal RNA
About the family: U5 RNA is a component of both types of known spliceosome. The precise function of this molecule is unknown, though it is known that the 5' loop is required for splice site selection and p220 binding, and that both the 3' stem-loop and the Sm site are important for Sm protein binding and cap methylation.
Source: Rfam by way of RNAcentral
UACAACUGGUUUCUCUCCAGAUCACAGAAAUCUUUUGUCUUUUACUAAAGAUUUCCAUGGAGAAGAACAUGUAUGAGCUGAUACCUAACUAAUUGAGGCUUUACUUUGGUGAAGC